GGAUUAAGAGCUUGCUCUUAUGAAGUUAGCGGCGGACGGGUGAGUAACACGUGGGUAACCUGCCCAUAAGACUGGGAUAACUCCGGGAAACCGGGGCUAAUACCGGAUAACAUUUUGAACCGCAUGGUUCGAAAUUGAAAGGCGGCUUCGGCUGUCACUUAUGGAUGGACCCGCGUCGCAUUAGCUAGUUGGUGAGGUAACGGCUCACCAAGGCAACGAUGCGUAGCCGACCUGAGAGGGUGAUCGGCCACACUGGGACUGAGACACGGCCCAGACUCCUACGGGAGGCAGCAGUAGGGAAUCUUCCGCAAUGGACGAAAGUCUGACGGAGCAACGCCGCGUGAGUGAUGAAGGCUUUCGGGUCGUAAAACUCUGUUGUUAGGGAAAACAAGUGCUAGUUGAAUAAGCUGGCACCUUGACGGUACUAACCAGAAAGCCACGGCUAACUACGUGCAGC
RNAcentral lists this ribosomal RNA (457 nucleotides) under Bacillus cereus. RNAcentral's name for it is "bacterial SSU rRNA". It matches the Rfam family "Bacterial small subunit ribosomal RNA", at positions 69 to 512 of the family's 1533-position model. The record is from RNAcentral. Lineage: Bacteria; Bacillati; Bacillota; Bacilli; Caryophanales; Bacillaceae.